RNAcentral lists this ribosomal RNA (266 nucleotides) under uncultured bacterium. RNAcentral describes it as "partial 16S ribosomal RNA". It matches the Rfam family "Bacterial small subunit ribosomal RNA", at positions 88 to 354 of the family's 1533-position model. The record is from RNAcentral.
UAUUCGAGUGGCGGACGGGUGAGUAACGCGUGGGUAACCUGCCUUACACAGGGGGAUAACACCUGGAAACAGGUGCUAAUACCGCAUAAGCGCACAGGGCCGCAUGGCCCGGUGUGAAAAACUCCGGUGGUGUAAGAUGGACCCGCGUCUGAUUAGCUUGUUGGCGGGGUAAAGGCCCACCAAGGCGACGAUCAGUAGCCGGCCUGAGAGGGUGAACGGCCACAUUGGGACUGAGACACGGCCCAAACUCCUACGGGAGGCAGCAG